This 207-nucleotide ribosomal RNA is filed under the name uncultured bacterium. Its description in RNAcentral is "partial 16S ribosomal RNA". It matches the Rfam family "Bacterial small subunit ribosomal RNA", at positions 568 to 774 of the family's 1533-position model. The record is from RNAcentral.
CACGCAGGCGGAUAAUUAAGUGAGAUGUGAAAUCCCCGAGCUUAACUUGGGAAUUGCAUUUCAUACUGGUUAUCUAGAGUCUUGUAGAGAGGGGUAGAAUUCCACGUGUAGCGGUGAAAUGCGUAGAGAUGUGGAGGAAUACCGGAGGCGAAGGCGGCCCCUUGGACAAAGACUGACGCUGAGGAGCGAAAGCGUGGGGAGCAAACA